RNAcentral lists this small RNA (93 nucleotides) under Salix viminalis (osier). Lineage: Eukaryota; Viridiplantae; Streptophyta; Magnoliopsida; Malpighiales; Salicaceae. The record is from RNAcentral.
GAUAAUUUUUAAGGAUUGACUUUUGAGUGGUAAUGUCAUGGAGGGCGCAAUAAUACCUAGCAUGAACGCAAAUCAUCAAUUAACAUAAUUAAU